GAUGACCCCCCCGCCCCCCCAGGUGUCCUGGAGGACUCAGAGGACGUCCUGCUCAACCCCACCCUGGCGGAGGCGGAGGCGGCGGCGCAGAACGCGGAGCUGCGGCGCAGGAAGCCGGGCUACGACCCCUAUGGGGAGGGGGACGCAGGGGACGGAGCCACCAAGGUGGGGGGGGGGGCACCCCGUGUGUCACCCCUGUGUGUCACCCCAUGGGGGUCACCCCCUUGGGUCACCCCUUGGGUCACCCCAUGGGUCACCCCAUGGGGGUCACCUCCUUGUGUCACCUCCUUGUGUCGCCUCGUGUCACCCCAUGGGGGUCACCCCCUUGUGUCACCCAUGGGGGUCACCCCCUUGUGUCACCCCCUUGUCACCCCAUGGGGGUCACCUCCUUGUGUCACCUCCUUGUGUCCCCCCUUGUGUCCCCCCGUGUGCCACCCCAUGGGGGUCACCCCUUGUGUCACCUCCUUGUGUCACCCCAUGGGGGUCACCCCGUGUGUCACCCUUUGUGUCACCCCUUGUGUCACCUCUUUGUGUCACCCCAUGCGUUACUGGGUCACCUCAUUGGGGCCACCUCGUGUGUCACUGUGCCACCUCGUGUGCCACCUCUUCUGUCACCUCUUCUGUCACUGG
This 630-nucleotide long non-coding RNA is filed under the name Phasianus colchicus (ring-necked pheasant). RNAcentral describes it as "lncRNA (ENSPCLG00000020161.1)". Lineage: Eukaryota; Metazoa; Chordata; Aves; Galliformes; Phasianidae. The record is from RNAcentral.